GACGAACCGUGCGAACGUUGUUCGGCAUCACUGGGCGUAACGCGCACGUAGGCGGCUGUGUCAGUCAGGGGUGAAAUCCCGGAGCUCAACUUCGGAACUGCCCUUGAUACAGCACGUCUUGAGUCCGGAAGAGGUGGGUGGAAUUCCUAGUGUAGAGGUGAAAUUCGUAGAUAUUAGGAAGAACACCGGUGGCGAAGGCGGCCCACUGGUCCGGUACUGACGCUGAGGUGCGAAAGCGUGGGGAGCAAACAGG
RNAcentral lists this ribosomal RNA (253 nucleotides) under uncultured bacterium. RNAcentral describes it as "partial 16S ribosomal RNA". It matches the Rfam family "Bacterial small subunit ribosomal RNA", at positions 524 to 776 of the family's 1533-position model. The record is from RNAcentral.